GAACUCGAUUCGGCAGUACGUAAACUAAAAUUGGAACGAAACAGAGAAGAUUGGCAUGGCCCUUGCGCAAGGAUGACACGCAAAAUUGUGAAGCGUUCCACAUUUUU
Molecule: small nuclear RNA, 107 nt
Organism: Pieris napi
Lineage: Eukaryota; Metazoa; Arthropoda; Insecta; Lepidoptera; Pieridae
Source: RefSeq, a predicted model, not a curated record